This 375-nucleotide ribosomal RNA is filed under the name uncultured organism. RNAcentral's name for it is "partial 16S ribosomal RNA". It matches the Rfam family "Bacterial small subunit ribosomal RNA", at positions 527 to 896 of the family's 1533-position model. The record is from RNAcentral.
GUAGGUGGCAAGCGUUGUCCGGGAAUUAUUGGGGCGUAAAGCGCGCGCAGGCGGUUCUUUAAGUCUGAUGUGAAAGCCCACGGGCUCAACCGUGGAGGGUCAUUGGAAACUGGAGAACUUGAGUGCAGAAGAGGAAAGCGGAAUUCCACGCGUAGCGGUGAAAUGCGUAGAGAUGUGGAGGAACACCAGUGGCGAAGGCGGCUUUCUGGUCUGUAACUGACGCUGAGGCGCGAAAGCGUGGGGAGCAAACAGGAUUAGAUACCCUGGUAGUCCACGCCGUAAACGAUGAGUGCUAAGUGUUAGGGGGUUUCCGCCCCUUAGUGCUGCAGCUAACGCAUUAAGCACUCCGCCUGGGGAGUACGGCCGCAAAGGCUG